This 484-nucleotide ribosomal RNA is filed under the name uncultured bacterium. Its description in RNAcentral is "partial 16S ribosomal RNA". It matches the Rfam family "Bacterial small subunit ribosomal RNA", at positions 30 to 507 of the family's 1533-position model. The record is from RNAcentral.
AUUGAACGCUGGCGGCAGGCCUAACACAUGCAAGUCGAGCGGAUGAAGGGAGCUUGCUCCUGGAUUCAGCGGCGGACGGGUGAGUAAUGCCUAGGAAUCUGCCUGGUAGUGGGGGAUAACGUCCGGAAACGGGCGCUUAUACCGCAUACGUCCUGUGGGGGAAAGUGGGGGAUCUUCGGACCUCACGCUAUCAGAUGAGCCUAGGUCGGAUUAGCUAGUUGGUGGGGUAAAGGCCUAUCCAGGCGACGAUCCGUAACUGGUCUGGGAGGAUGAUCAGUCACACAGGGUCUGAGACACGGUCCAGACUCCGACGGGAGGCAGAAGUGGGGAAUAUUGGACAGUGGGCGAUAGCCUGAUCCAGCCAUGCCGCGUGUGUGAAGAAGGUCUGCGGAUUGUGAAGCACUUUAAGUUGGGAGGAAGGGCAGGAAGUUAAGACCUUGCUGUUGUGACGGUACCAACAGAAUAAGCACCGGCUAACUUCGUG